AGUCGAGCGGUAGAGAGAAGCUUGCUUCUCUUGAGAGCGGCGGACGGGUGAGUAAUGCCUAGGAAUCUGCCUGGUAGUGGGGGAUAACGUUCGGAAACGGACGCUAAUACCGCAUACGUCCUACGGGAGAAAGCAGGGGACCUUCGGGCCUUGCGCUAUCAGAUGAGCCUAGGUCGGAUUAGCUAGUUGGUGAGGUAAUGGCUCACCAAGGCGACGAUCCGUAACUGGUCUGAGAGGAUGAUCAGUCACACUGGAACUGAGACACGGUCCAGACUCCUACGGGAGGCAGCAGUGGGGAAUAUUGGACAAUGGGCGAAAGCCUGAUCCAGCCAUGCCGCGUGUGUGAAGAAGGUCUUCGGAUUGUAAAGCACUUUAAGUUGGGAGGAAGGGUUGUAGAUUAAUACUCUGCAAUUUUGACGUUACCGACAGAAUAAGCACCGGCUAACUCUGUGCCAGCAGCCGCGGUAAUACAGAGGGUGCAAGCGUUAAUCGGAAUUACUGGGCGUAAAGCGCGCGUAGGUGGUUUGUUAAGUUGGAUGUGAAAUCCCCGGGCUCAACCUGGGAACUGCAUUCAAAACUGACUGACUAGAGUAUGGUAGAGGGUGGUGGAAUUUCCUGUGUAGCGGUGAAAUGCGUAGAUAUAGGAAGGAACACCAGUGGCGAAGGCGACCACCUGGACUAAUACUGACACUGAGGUGCGAAAGCGUGGGGAGCAAACAGGAUUAGAUACCCUGGUAGUCCACGCCGUAACGAUGUCAACUAGCCGUUGGAAGCCUUGAGCUUUUAGUGGCGCAGCUAACGCAUUAAGUUGACCGCCUGGGGAGUACGGCCGCAAGGUUAAAACUCAAAUGAAUUGACGGGGGCCCGCACAAGCGGUGGAGCAUGUGGUUUAA
This 893-nucleotide ribosomal RNA is filed under the name Pseudomonas azotoformans. RNAcentral describes it as "bacterial SSU rRNA". It matches the Rfam family "Bacterial small subunit ribosomal RNA", at positions 60 to 949 of the family's 1533-position model. Lineage: Bacteria; Pseudomonadati; Pseudomonadota; Gammaproteobacteria; Pseudomonadales; Pseudomonadaceae. The record is from RNAcentral.